UCCUAAUUAAAAUUUUAAUUGAACCUUAAUCAAAUCUUAAGUCAAAUCCUAAUGAAAUCCUAAAUAAAUCCUAAAUCCUAAACAAAUCCUAUUCAAUUCCUACUCAAGUUCAAAAUCAAAUCCCAAGCAAACCCUAAUCCUAACCAAUUUGUAGACAAAUCCUAAACCAAAUCUUAUAGCAAAUUGGAACCUUAACAAUUAAUGAUUGAACCGUUAAUAUCAAUUCAAAUUUUAUAAACUUUUUAAUAUCUUAAUUAAAAAUAAGCACAAGAAAGAUGAAAUCAAUCGCACUUACUAAUUAAAAAAAAUAUAAGAUAAUCUAAUCAAGUAUUAAGUGGCCUUCUACUUCCAUCUAAAUUCUAAACUUCCAACAUCAAUAUGUCAUUUUUGAACCGUUGAAUUAUUCCCAAAAUUUACUUAAAAUGUUAGAAAUUGAAUCUAAUAUUCAAAUAAAAAAAACUCACUUCAAUCCAAUUGAUAGAUUGCUGAAGAACUUAGAAAUACUCACUUAUCUU
RNAcentral lists this long non-coding RNA (515 nucleotides) under Physcomitrium patens. RNAcentral describes it as "long non-coding RNA (PPAT_LNC002700)". Lineage: Eukaryota; Viridiplantae; Streptophyta; Bryopsida; Funariales; Funariaceae. The record is from RNAcentral.